This 373-nucleotide unclassified non-coding RNA is filed under the name fungal sp. Its description in RNAcentral is "partial internal transcribed spacer region". The stretch from base 1 to 46 matches the Rfam family "Eukaryotic small subunit ribosomal RNA", at positions 1786 to 1831 of the family's 1831-position model. Lineage: Eukaryota; Fungi. The record is from RNAcentral.
AAGUCGUAACAAGGUCUCCGUAGGUGAACCUGCGGAGGGAUCAUCAUAGGAUUAUUUUCUACUACUCUAACUGGGUGGUUGGUCUUCUCCUGCUUUUUAUUAAGUGGGUGGGGGAUUUGAUCACUUCAAACAAACGAUCACAACUAUAUUGUGUUGGAUUGGAUUGGGGAGAGAGGGGGGAAAGGAGCAAGCUGAGUGGCUGGGCCAUACUCUGCAUCAGCAUCAUGGCUGGCCGUUCAUGCUUUUGUUGUUUGCUGCUUGUCUCGAAUUCUCGACCCAAAAGAAAGAAGGGAUUGCCUGAUAAGUGGUUGGUAUAUGUGAUUUUGGGAGAAAAACAGAAUACAACUUUCAACAACGGAUCUCUUGGCUCUCA